GGCAAUGUGAUGCAAUAGAAAGAAUGCUGAACUCAGAAUCCAGAAAAUAAGGAUUCAAAUUCUAUCUCUGCUA
Molecule: transfer RNA, 73 nt
Filed under: Sarcophilus harrisii (Tasmanian devil)
Lineage: Eukaryota; Metazoa; Chordata; Mammalia; Dasyuromorphia; Dasyuridae
Rfam family: tRNA
About the family: Transfer RNA (tRNA) molecules are approximately 80 nucleotides in length.
Source: Rfam by way of RNAcentral